Molecule: RNA transcript, 5914 nt
Organism: Cercocebus atys (sooty mangabey)
Lineage: Eukaryota; Metazoa; Chordata; Mammalia; Primates; Cercopithecidae
Gene: RUBCN
Gene name: KIAA0226 ortholog
Exons: 23
Source: RefSeq, a predicted model, not a curated record
GGAGCCGGAAGUGGGGGUGGCCGGGAUAGAAGCCGCAACCCAGGCGGCUGUGUCUGCCGCCGCUGCCGCCGCCCGUGUGUAGCGCAUCACCCGGAGCCCACCGGCCGUGGGUGCCUCCUCCGGCCCCAGGGGCCCCCGGGAGCCCUGAAGGGCGAAGCGGCGGGGGCGCCUCUCUUGGGCGAAGAGGCGGCCUCGCCGCCCCGGAUGCGGCCGGAGGGCGCGGGAAUGGAGCUCGGAGGCGGCGAGGAGCGCCUGGCUGAGGAGAGCAGGAGGGAACACUGGCAGUUGCUGGGUCAUUUGAAGACUACGGUGGAGGGUUUGGUAUCAGCCAACAGCCCCAACGUCUGGUCUAAGUAUGGCGGCUUGGAGCGGCUCUGCAGGGACAUGCAGAGCAUUCUCCAUCACGGGCUUAUCCGUGACCAGGCGUGCCGCCGCCAGACUGAUUACUGGCAGUUUGUGAAAGACAUACGGUGGCUCAGUCCCCACUCAGCCCUUCACGUGGAGAAGUUCAUCAGCUUGCACGAGAACGGCCAGAGCAGUGCUGAUGGUGUGAGUGAACGUGCUGUUGCCGAGUUGUGGCUGCAGCACAGCCUGCAAUACCACUGCCUCUCAGCCCAGCUCCGGCCUCUGCUCGGGGAUAGACAGUAUAUCAGAAAAUUCUACACAGCUUUUCUCUCCCCAGAUGCUGCUUUCCUGCUAAGUGAUGCUCACGUCACGGCCAUGCUCCAGUGCCUGGAAGCAGUGGAACAGAACGACCCCCGCCUUCUGGCUCAGAUAGAUGCAUCCAUGUUUGCCAGAAAGCACGAGAGCCCACUCCUGGUGACAAAGAGCCAGAGCCUGACAGCUCUGCCCAGUUCCACAUACACCCCUCCAGCCAGCUAUGCUCAGCAUUCCUACUUUGGGUCCUUCUCUAGCCUCCACCAAUCCAUGCCCAACAAUGGCUCAGAGAGAAGAUCUACUUCCUUUUCACUCUCUGGCCCUCCCCGGAAACCUCAAGAAAGCAGAGGGCACGUCUCACCAGCAGAGGAUCAAACCAUCCAAGCCCUCCCGGUUUCAGCCUCUGCACUAGCCAGGGAUUCCCCCUUAACCCCAAAUGAGAUGAGCUCCAGUACUCUGACCAGCCCUAUAGAGGCAUCCUGGGUCAGCAGCCAGAAUGAUUCCCCAAGUGAUGCCAGUGAGGGGCCUGAGUACCUGGCCAUUGGCAACUUGGACCCCCGAGGCCGGACUGCCAGCUGUCAGAGUCACAGCAGCAAUGCCGAGAGCAGCAGCUCCAAUUUGUUCUCCUCCAGCAGCUCCCAGAAGCCAGAUUCUGCUGCCUCUUCCUUAGGGGACCAGGAGGGAGGUGAGGAGAGCCAGCUGUCCAGUGUCCUCCGCAGGUCCAGCUUCUCAGAGGGGCAGACACUCACCGUCACCAGUGGGGCAAAGAAGAGCCAUAUUCGCUCCCAUUCGGAUACCAGCAUCGCCUCCAGAGGAGCUCCAGGAGGUCCCAGGAAUAUCACCAUUAUAGUUGAAGAUCCCAUUGCAGAAUCCUGCAAUGAUAAGGCGAAGUUGAGAGGCCCCUUGCCCUACUCUGGUCAAAGCAGUGAAGUCAGCACACCCAGUUCUCUGUACAUGGAGUAUGAAGGUGGUCGGUACCUGUGCUCAGGGGAAGGCAUGUUCCGAAGACCAUCAGAAGGACAGUCCCUCAUCAGCUACCUCUCUGAGCAAGACUUCGGCAGCUGUGCCGACCUGGAAAAGGAGAAUGCCCACUUCAGCAUCUCAGAGUCCUUAAUCGCGGCCAUCGAGCUAAUGAAGUGCAACAUGAUGAGCCGGUGCCUGGAGGAGGGGGAGGAAGAGGAAGACAGUGACAGAGAGAUCCAGGAGCUGAAGCAGAAGAUCCGCCUUCGGCGCCAGCAAAUCCGCACCAAGAACCUGCUCCCUGUGUACCAGGAGGCUGAGCAUGGAAGCUUUCGGGUCACCUCCAGCAGCUCCCAGUUCAGCUCACGCGAUUCAGCACAUCUCUCUGACUCUGGCUCUGCUGAUGAGGUUGAUGAAUUUGAAAUCCAAGAUGGUAGUGAAGGAUCUAACCUGACUCACAUAUCAAAGAACGGACUGUCAGUGUCACUGGCCUCGAUGUUCUCAGAUGCUGACAUCAGAAGGAACACAGCCUCAAGCAGCAGAUCCUUCGUUUCCUCCCAGUCCUUCUCCCACGGCUUCCUGCACUCCACAUCUGCUGAGGCGGUGGCCAUGGGGCUCCUGAAGCAGUUUGAGGGGAUGCAACUUCCAGCUGCCUCAGAGCUGGAGUGGCUCGUCCCGGAGCACGACGCACCUCAGAAGCUUCUACCCAUCCCUGACUCACUGCCCAUCUCACCGGAUGACGGGCAGCAUGCUGACAUCUACAAGCUGCGGAUUCGUGUUCGUGGCAACUUGGAGUGGGCGCCCCCCCGGCCUCAGAUAAUUUUUAAUGUUCAUCCCGCCCCAACGAGGAAAAUUGCCGUGGCCAAGCAGAAUUACCGCUGUGCAGGGUGUGGCAUCCGGACUGACCCUGAUUAUAUCAAGCGACUGCGGUACUGUGAGUACCUGGGCAAGUACUUCUGCCAGUGCUGCCACGAGAACGCACAGAUGGUCAUCCCCAGCCGGCUUCUGCGCAAGUGGGACUUCAGCAAGUACUACGUCAGCAAUUUCUCCAAGGACCUGCUCAUUAAGAUCUGGAAUGAUCCUCUCUUCAACGUGCAGGACAUAAACAGUGCCCUCUAUAGGAAGGUCAAGCUACUCAAUCAAGUCCGGCUGCUGCGGGUCCAGCUGUGUCACAUGAAGAACAUGUUCAAGACUUGUCGACUGGCCAAGGAGCUUCUGGAUUCCUUUGACACAGUCCCGGGCCACCUGACGGAGGACCUCCACCUGUACUCACUGAAUGAUCUGACAGCGACCAGGAAGGGGGAGCUGGGGCCCCGGCUUGCUGAGCUCACCAGGGCAGGGGCUGCCCAUGUGGAGAGAUGCAUGCUCUGCCAAGCCAAGGGCUUCAUCUGUGAGUUCUGUCAGAAUGAGGAUGACAUCAUCUUUCCCUUUGAGCUCCAUAAGUGCCGGACCUGUGAAGAGUGUAAAGCGUGUUACCAUAAAGCCUGCUUCAAGUCUGGAAGCUGUCCGCGCUGUGAGCGGCUGCAGGCCCGGCGGGAGGCGCUGGCCAGGCAGAGCCUGGAGUCUUACCUGUCGGACUACGAGGAGGAGCCCGCCGAAGCGUUGGCCCUGGAAGCCGCCGUCCUGGAGGCCACCUGAAGAAAGCACGUGAAGCCCCUGUCUGGGCCGGGGUCACACAUAUUGCAGAACUGAGCCACUCUUUGAAGGACUUGCCCCACCUGGGGCUGCUUCUUUUUUUUAAUUAUCAUUUUUUUUUACUGACUUGUCUGACGUCCAUGUGCAGUCAGCCUUUGGUAGGUUGAUGGGUCCAGAGUCUGUGGUGACAGGUAAUUUGUAAGCUCCAGGUGUUUUCAUCAGAACUGACAUGUGGGUCCUUCAGUGAAGCUUCUAGUGCCUCUGUCAGGGGAAGAGACAGCAAGACCCAGUUCUUCCAGCGUCUGUGGCCUUCUCCUCUAGAACCAGACCUGGUUUCUUCUCCUCUAGAACCAGACCUGGUUUCUUCUCCUCUAGAACCAGACCUGGUUUCACCUGCAUGUCAAGUAUCUUUUCCAAUUUUCCUUUGUUUUUGUUCUGGAGCUUCUGAGCCAGGCCUUUCUCAGCCACCUCUCCUCCUGCUGCUGAAACGGUGGCGUUCUCUCUCUCCCUGUCCUGGACUGGGGUCAGACCGUGCCCCGAGGAGAAGCAGCAGAGAAUGAGACUACGUCGUGGGCAUUUUGUCCGCUUAUUUGGGUAUUUUGGGGGCCACACAACAAUCAUGACUAUCCUGGACUCCUCAGAGACCUCAGAGAGGCAGCCGUGAAUGUCCCUGUGUUGCUGGGAUUUCCCGUUUGGAACAUUUGAAGUAUAGAUGAUGCCAGAAGCUGACUUUCUUCAUCUGCCCUGGUGAGCUUGAAGCAAAGAACAGAACUGAUGCUUAGGCCAGGCUCGUCUGCAGCCUUAUGCCACAAGCAUACGUGAGGCGGCAGCUCUUGCUGAAGGAGCACUUACUCACAGGGGCUGUCGGCCCCUCUUAGGUGUUAAGGUCUCUUUUAGUUAACCUGGCUUUUUGGUGCAGGUAUGAUCUUUGAAGCUCAGGCAAGUCCCUGAUGCCAUCCUAAGGUGAGGACAGGAACCCCACCCACCCUCUUCUUAGUGUGUCCCUGACCACUCUGUCAUCUGUUCGAUGGUCAUUGUGGUUCUCAGUGAAAGUACAACCCAACUCCCUUCUCUCUCCCCUUGUGCAGCAGAGCUCGUCCUUCCCUGGUGGCCGAGUCUCUCUUGCCUUAGCUUCUGUGGUCAAAGUUGGAGAAAAGCUUCCUGCUAUUAGUGCUGUUACAGAACUUGACAGUUUGUGGAUUUGCCUGCUGGUAGGAGAACAAUGGGCGUGGGCGCCGUCCCUGGAAGCUGAACAGAAGGGGGCCUGUGGUUGGUGGAAGCUGAUGAGAGCCUGAGCUGGCGGUAAGAAGGAAUCUCCCAGGGAGGUGGGAGAGGCCUUAAGGUGAUGGCCAGGGCUGAGGCUCCACCAGCACGAGAGGGAACGUGUGGGAACCGGCCCCUGCUCUUGGUUCCUCUGCCUCAAAGUUGGGAUCUGAAAGCCAUGCUGGGCUACAAGACCCUGGAGCUGUUCUCCCUUCUGUUCACAGUGAGGCUCUAAGGCCAAGGCCAGCAGUUCUGAAGGGCUGACUGGAAGGCCUGGGCCCUUCAGGGAGCUUCACGGAACUCAGGUUUCACUAGGGGUUCGGUCCCAGGUCCACACCCAGGGGUUUAUAAAAAUGGUGAGCUCUCCUUCCAGGUUUGGUUUAAAUUACACAUCCAGGCCAGGCAUGGUGGCUCACGCCUGUAAUCCCAGCACUUUGGGAGGCCAAGGCGGGCAGAUCUUGAGGUCAGAAGUUUGAGACCAGCCUGGCCAAUGUGGUGAAACCCCAUCUCUUCCAAAAAUACAAAAAUUCACCAGGCAUGGUGACGGGCACCUGUAAUCCCAGCUACUUGGGAGGCUGAGGCAGGAGAAUCGCUUGAACCCAGGAGGUGGAGGUUGCAGUGAGCCGAGAUCGCACCACUGCACUCCAGCCUGGGUGACAGAGCGAGACUCCAUCUCAAAACGAAAACAAAAAAGUGACACAUCCAGCUCCCUCUCCAGGUCAUUGGAGAUGUGCUCUCUUGUCCCGCCUGUUUCUCAUCAGCACAGGAUCAAAGGAUGAAAAUGCUGACAGCUUCUGAAGCCGAACUCAACAGUCUCACAGGCUCCUGACUUGUCACUUACUUUUCUCCAUCUCCCUCAACUGCACCCCAUCCCUUCCCUUUAGAUCGUGCGUGUUUUAGUGACUCCGACACGCUGCUGCCAUCACCGUCCAAAUACCCAUUUAUUUAUUUAUUCGAGAGGGGGAAAGCGGGUAGAGGAUGGGAUGUUUUGGAAGCACUUUGCAACUUGUCAGUAUCUGAAAAUCCCCUGCUGUUGCGGGGAGAAGCUUUGAAUGCACUGAAGAGAAUUCCUUCUAAAUGAAGGUGAGGGUAGUGUUCUUUCUCUAAGUAAAGGGAAAGAAAAAAACAUAGGUUGCUUACCAGGUGGAGACAAGAUUCAAGACAUAGCAGAAAAGUGGAAGACAAAUAUCUUCCACUUAAAUGAGGCUGUUUUGACGUUCUCUGCCAAGGAUUUAGAGCUCUUGUUGAAUUACCAUAGAAGAAGCGCGAGUCUCAGUAGAGAUGUUCUGUGUGUGCAGCCUGUGCUCUGAACUGGCUUUCCACCUGCCGUGGUUCUUGCACAGUCUGGCAGUUCAUUGUCAUCUUUAAUAAACUAAGGAAAUGAAAUUCUGUCUUUGGU